UGCACGGAAUAUUAGGACAAUGGGGGAAACGCCUGAUCCAGCCAUGCCGCGUGCGGGAAGACUGCCCUAUGGGUUGUAAACUGCUUUUAUUGGGGAAGAAACGUACCUACGUGUAGGUGCUUGACGGGACCGUACGAAUAAAGAUCGGCUAACUCCAUGCCAGCACCCGCGGUAA
This 175-nucleotide ribosomal RNA is filed under the name uncultured bacterium. RNAcentral describes it as "partial 16S ribosomal RNA". It matches the Rfam family "Bacterial small subunit ribosomal RNA", at positions 353 to 523 of the family's 1533-position model. The record is from RNAcentral.